AGCUACUGAGUGCUUAUUGCACCACAUGUGUUUUUCUUUGAAACAAACUUGCUUUGGCGGUGGGCCCAGCCUGCCGCCAGAGGUCUAAACUUACAACCAAUUUUUUAUCAACUUGUCACACCAGAUUAUUACUAAUAGUCAAAACUUUCAACAACGGAUCUCUUGGUUCUCGCAUCGAUGAAGAACGCAGCGAAAUGCGAUACGUAAUAUGAAUUGCAGAUAUUCGUGAAUCAUCGAAUCUUUGAACGCACAUUGCGCCCUCUGGUAUUCCGGAGGGCAUGCCUGUUUGAGCGUCGUUUCUCCCUCAAACCGCUGGGUUUGGUGUUGAGCAAUACGACUUGGGUUUGCUUGAAAGACGGUAGUGGUAAGGCGGGAUCGCUUUGACAAUGGCUUAGGUCUAACCAAAAACAUUGCUUGCGGCGGUAACGUCUACCACGUAUAUCUUCAAACUUUGACCUCAAAUCAGGUAGGACUACCCGCUGAACUUAAGCAUAUCAAAAGCCGGAGGAAAC
This 512-nucleotide ribosomal RNA is filed under the name Candida albicans. RNAcentral's name for it is "eukaryotic LSU rRNA". The stretch from base 143 to 296 matches the Rfam family "5.8S ribosomal RNA". Lineage: Eukaryota; Fungi; Ascomycota; Pichiomycetes; Serinales; Debaryomycetaceae. The record is from RNAcentral.